Molecule: ribosomal RNA, 460 nt
Filed under: uncultured bacterium
Lineage: Bacteria
Description: partial 16S ribosomal RNA
Rfam family: Bacterial small subunit ribosomal RNA
Source: RNAcentral
CCUACGGGUGGCAGCAGUGAGGAAUAUUGGUCAAUGGACGCAAGUCUGAACCAGCCAUGCCGCGUGCAGGAUGACGGCUCUAUGAGUUGUAAACGGCGUUUGUACGAGGGUAAAUCUCGAUACGUGUAUGGGUGUGAAAGUAUCGUACGAAUAAGGAUAGGCUAACUCCGUGCCAGCAGCCCCGGUAAGACGGAGGAUUCAAGCGUUAUCCGGAUUUAUUGGGUUUAAAGGGUGCGUAGGCGGUUCGAUAAGUUAGAGGUGAAAUCCCGGGGCUCAACUCCGGCCCCGCCUCUGAUACUGUCGGGCUAGAGUUUAGUUGCGGUAGGCGGAAUGUAAUGUGUAGCGGUGAAAUGCAUAGAGAUCAUACAGAACACCGAAUGCGAAGGCAGCUUACCAAGCUACGACUGACGUUGAGGCACGAAAGCGUGGGGAGCAAACAGGAUUAGAUACCCUUGUAGUC